UACAGAGGUCUCAAGCGUUGUUCGGAAUUAUUGGGCGUAAAGGGCGCGUAGGUGGUUGAGUAAGUCAGGUGUGAAAGCUCUGGGCUUAACCCAGGAAUUGCAUCUGAUACUGCUCGGCUUGAGUACGGUAGAGGAGGGUGGAAUUCCCAGUGUAGCGGUGAAAUGCGUAGAUAUUGGGAGGAACACCGGUGGCGAAGGCGGCCCUCUGGACCGAAACUGACACUGAAGCGCGAAAGCUAGGGGAGCAAACGGG
This 253-nucleotide ribosomal RNA is filed under the name uncultured bacterium. RNAcentral describes it as "partial 16S ribosomal RNA". It matches the Rfam family "Bacterial small subunit ribosomal RNA", at positions 524 to 776 of the family's 1533-position model. The record is from RNAcentral.